AACGAACGCUGGCGGCAUGCCUAACACAUGCAAGUCGAACGAGACCAUCGGGUCUAGUGGCGCACGGGUGCGUAACGCGUGGGAACCUUCCCUUAGGUUCGGCAUAACUCCCCGAAUGGGGUGCCAACACCGGAUAAUGUCUUCGGACCAAAGAUUUAUCGCCUUUGGAUGGGCCAGCGUUGGAUUAGCUAGUUGGUAGGGUAAAAGCCUACCAAGGCGACGAUCCAAAGCUGGUCGGAGUGGAUGGUCAGCCACACUGAGACUGAGACACGGCCCAGACUCCCACGGAAGGAAGCAGUGGGGACGGAGGAACAAUGGGCGAAAGCCGGAGCCAUCAAGGUCGCGUGAGUGAUGAAGGCCGUAGGGUUGUAAAGGUCUUUUACCCGGGAUGAUAAUGACGGUACCAGGAGAAUAAGCACCGGCUAACUCCUU
RNAcentral lists this ribosomal RNA (432 nucleotides) under uncultured bacterium. RNAcentral describes it as "partial 16S ribosomal RNA". It matches the Rfam family "Bacterial small subunit ribosomal RNA", at positions 29 to 506 of the family's 1533-position model. The record is from RNAcentral.